UAGCCACGGUAAUACCAGCACCCCGAGUGGUCGGGACGAUUAUUGGGCCUAAAGCAUCCGUAGCCGGUUCUACAAGUCUUCCGUUAAAUCCAUCUGCUUAACAGAUGGGGCUGCGGAGGAUACUAUGGAGCUAGGAGGCGGGAGAGGCAAGCGGUACUUAGUGGGUAGGGUAAAUCCGUUGAUCCACUGAAGACCACCAGUGGCGAAGGC
Molecule: ribosomal RNA, 210 nt
Filed under: uncultured archaeon
Lineage: Archaea
Description: partial 16S ribosomal RNA
Rfam family: Archaeal small subunit ribosomal RNA
Source: RNAcentral